UAUUUUUGACCAACCAAAAUAAUCUAUCUAUGAACAACCCACAACCCGUGAGCCACCAAUAUGGGAUUCUCCUUCAAGACAUAGUUCCACUUUUCUUAGAGCUGCAUCCUCACGACCCUGCCUCCAACAACAAAGCCGCCGCCGUUAGCAGUGCCCAUUCCGGCACCGGCACCGUCACCGUCACCGCCGCCAACAACAACGCCAUCAGCAGUUCCGACGACGUCGCACGAGCGCUGCACCUCCGCUGCUGACGCACACAGCCCCUCCGCCGAG
RNAcentral lists this long non-coding RNA (273 nucleotides) under Phaseolus vulgaris (common bean). RNAcentral describes it as "long non-coding RNA (PVUL_LNC001746)". The record is from RNAcentral. Lineage: Eukaryota; Viridiplantae; Streptophyta; Magnoliopsida; Fabales; Fabaceae.